AAAAAAGGAUGCGCGGUAGAGGAGCAAUGUGCAGAGGCAGAAGCCGUAUCGAGAGGCACGGUGGACACUGCACAAGAGAGAAUGCCGGUAUGAGUAGCGAGAGGCAUGCGAGAAACAUGCCCGUCGAAAGCCCAAGGUUUCCUGGGGAAGGUUCAUCCGCCCAGGGUAAGUCGGGGCCUAAGCCGAGGACGGAAGUCGUAGGCGAUGGACAGCAGGUGUAGAUUCCUGCACUACCGAUGGAAUGAAGCAGUGACACAGAAGGAUAACUCGAGCAGGGUGAUGGUCAACCCUGUGCAAGCAUUGAGGUUGGGUUGUAGUGAAGUACGCAAUCCUAUAAGCUGAGAUGUGAUGCGGACCGAAAUUUCAGUAGGGAAGCGAGUGAGUUCACGCUGGCGAGAAAAGCUGCUAGUACAUCCAAAGGUACCCGUACCGGAAACCGACGCAUGUGGGCGAGGAGAGAAUCCUGAGACGAACGGGAGAACCCUUGUUAAGGAACUCGGCAAAAUGACCCCGUAACUUCGGGAUAAGGGGUGCCUGCGAGAGCAGGCCGCAGAGAAUAGUCACAAGCGACUGUUUAGCAAAAACACAGUAUCUGCGAAAGCGAGAGCUGACGUAUAGGUGCUGACACCUGCCCGGUGCUGGAAGGUUAAGGGAACAUGUUAGAGCAAUCGAAGCAUCGAACCGAAGCCCCAGUAAACGGCGGCCGUAACGAUAACGGUCCUAAGGUAGCGAAAUUCCUUGUCGGGUAAGUUCCGACCCGCACGAAUGGUGUAACGACUUGUGAGCUGUCUCAACAGGGGGCCCGGUGAAAUUGAAGUAUGGGUGAAGAUGCCCAUUACCCGCGACUGGACGGAAAGACCCCGUAGAGCUUUACUGCAGCCUGAUAUUGAGUUUCGGUAACUGAUGCACAGGAUAGGUGGGAGUCUGAGAGACAUGGGUUUCGGCUCAUGUGGAGACGAUGUUGGGAUACCACUCUUCGGUUACUGAAAUUCUAACAUAGCUCUGUGAAACCAGAGGAUGGACAGUGUCAGGUGGACAGUUUGACUGGGGCGGUCGCCUCCGAAAGAGUAACGGAGGCGCCCAAAGGUACCCUCAGAAUGGAUGGAAACCAUUCGAAGAGCGCAAAGGCAGAAGGGUGCCUGACUGCGAGAUUGACAAAUCGAGCAGAGACGAAAGUCGGGCUUAGUGAUCCGGCGGUAUUGAGUGGAAAAGCCGUCGCUUAACGGAUAAAAGCUACCUCGGGGGUAACAGGCUGAUCUCCCCCAAGAGUCCACAUCGACGGGGAGGUUUGGCACCUCGAUGUCGGCUCGUCGCCUCCUGGGGCUGAAGCAGGUCCCAAGGGUUUGGCUGUUCGCCAAUUAAAGCGGCACGCGAGCUGGGUUCAGAACGUCGUGAGACAGUUCGGUCCCUAUCCAUCGUGGGCGUAGGAGUCAUGAGAGGAGCUGUUCCUAGUACGAGAGGACCGGAAUGGACGCACCACUGGUGCAACUGUUGUCGUGCCAACGGCAUAGCAGGGAAGCGAAGUGCGGGUGGGAUAAACGCUGAAGGCAUCUAAGCGUGAAGCCCACCUCAAGAAUAAGACUCCACAAUAGACCCCUGGAGGACUACCAGGUAGAUAGGUCAUCGGUGGAAGCGCUGUAAGGUGUGUAGCUUGAUGAUACUAAUCGGUCGAAAGCUUC
RNAcentral lists this ribosomal RNA (1679 nucleotides) under metagenome. RNAcentral's name for it is "bacterial LSU rRNA". It matches the Rfam family "Bacterial large subunit ribosomal RNA", at positions 1213 to 2925 of the family's 2925-position model. The record is from RNAcentral.